This 253-nucleotide ribosomal RNA is filed under the name uncultured bacterium. RNAcentral describes it as "partial 16S ribosomal RNA". It matches the Rfam family "Bacterial small subunit ribosomal RNA", at positions 524 to 776 of the family's 1533-position model. The record is from RNAcentral.
UACGUAGGUGGCAAGCGUUGUCCGGAUUUACUGGGCGUAAAGCGUGCGCAGGCGGUUUUGUAAGCCAGAUGUGAAAUCCCCGGGCUUAACCUGGGAAUGGCAUUUGGGACUGCAAGGCUUGAGUGCGGCAGAGGAGACUGGAAUUCCUGGUGUAGCAGUGAAAUGCGUAGAUAUCAGGAGGAACACCGAUGGCGAAGGCAGGUCUCUGGGCUGACACUGACGCUCAUGCACGAAAGCGUGGGGAGCAAACAGG